ACUUUGAAAAAAUUAGAGUGCUCAAAGCAGGCGCGACGCCUGGAUAAUGGUGCAUGGAAUAAUGGAAUAGGACCUCGGUUCUAUUUUGUUGGUUUUAGGAACACGAGGUAAUGAUUAAGAGGGACAGACGGGGGCAUUCGUAUUGCGACGCUAGAGGUGAAAUUCUUGGACCGCCGCACGACGAACUACUGCGAAAGCAUUUGCCAAGAAUGUUUCCAUUAAUCAAGAACGAAAGUUAGAGGUCCGAAGGCGAUCAGAUACCGCCCUAGUUCUAACCAUAAACGAUGCCAGCCAGCGAUCCGGCUGCGUUCCUCAAAUGACGCGCCGGGCAGCUUCCGGGAAACCAAAGCUUUUGGGUUCCGGGGGGAGUAUGGUUGCAAAGCUUAAACUUGAAGGAAUUGACGGAAGCGCACACAAGGAAUGGGGCCUGCGGUUUAAUUUGACUCAACACGGUGCAACUCUCCCGGCCCGGACACAGGAAGGAUUGACAGAUUGAGAGCUCUUUCUUCAUUCUGUGAUAGGUGGUGCAUGGCCGUUUCUGGUUGGUGGAGUGAUUUGUCUGCUUUAUUGCGAUAACGAGCGAGACUCUAGCCUACUAAAUAGACGGUGCGAUCCUUCUGAGUCGCACGUUCUUCUUAGAGGGACAGGCGGUGUUCAGCCGCACGAAACAGAGCAAAAACAGGUCAGGAUGCCCUUAGAUGUUCGGGGCCACACGCGCGCCACAUUGAAGGAACCAGCGUGUGCUUUCCCUGUCCGACAGGACUGGGUAACCCGUUGAAACUCCUUCGUGCUGGGGAUAGGGGUUUGGAAUUGUCCCCCUUGAACGAGGAAUUCCCAGUAAGCGCGAGUCAUCAGCUCGUGUUGAUUACGUCCCUGCGCUUUGUACACACCGCCCGUCGCUAUUAUCGAUGAAUUUUGGAGUGAGAUCUU
Molecule: ribosomal RNA, 930 nt
Filed under: Leucauge tessellata
Lineage: Eukaryota; Metazoa; Arthropoda; Arachnida; Araneae; Tetragnathidae
Description: SSU rRNA
Rfam family: Eukaryotic small subunit ribosomal RNA
Source: RNAcentral